Molecule: long non-coding RNA, 1137 nt
Organism: Pezoporus flaviventris
Lineage: Eukaryota; Metazoa; Chordata; Aves; Psittaciformes; Psittacidae
Exons: 3
Source: RefSeq, a predicted model, not a curated record
ACAAUGCCAUUGUUAAGUAAUCCAGCUCAGAACUGUAAUGGCUCUCCCAUGCCUGGGGUUCAGCAUAUGGUGCAGCUUUUACGCAUGGUCAAAGGAUUCCAUACUGAUGUCCCAAAACCUGAGGUUUUGAAGAGCGGAGCAUCAAUUCCAUCAUCAGCUCUCUCCCUGGAGGGAUUCUAUUCUUAUUCAAGCAUCGAUUUGAAGUACAAGUGCUCUGGCUUUACAAGGAUUUCCUGAUUCUCUUACUGACAUAUGUAUUUUUUCAGAGAGCAUUGUUCUUCAAUGGAGUGCAUUAAAAUGAAUCUACAGAAGAAGAAUGUGGUCAGACGUAGGGGAAUGACUUAACAGCUUUUAUUAAAAGGCUACUCUCAAAUAUCAUUCAAACACUUCAUGGAACUUAGAAGCUUUCCUUUGUGAUCAGAAGAUCAUAGUCUAAUGCCUGGGUGUACAAUCUAGGAGAUUUUUCUCACCCUACCAUUCCAAUUUUCAGAAAGCACCUACUUGCUUUGGGAUGUCACAUCUUCGCAUUAAAAGUCUUAAAAAUACAAUCCGAGCUCUUCUGAAAAAGUAUCUUUGGGAACACGAGGGUGUGCAUGAAUAUCUUCAAAGCUGUAGUUUGACUAACCCAGCCACUGCUUAGAUCAUCAAACAGGCAUGCAUUUGGGACACAGAGGCACUACAGUCCUGGUGUAUUCAGCCCAGAAUCCUCAUGGUUAUGUGAAUAAUUAUCCCUUCAUACCGGCCUAGAAAUCUUGGACAGAAUUAGCAAUCACAGCAAGGGUGCUAAGAAAUAAUUUGUACCAUACAUCUGUUAGUGUCCCUUAGCCCAGCUGGAAUUUACAUGCUUUCCUCUCUAUCUUGGGUUUCUCAAAUUGUGUUGAUGUGUAUUUAAGCCGCAGGAACAUUCGAGGCGGUCACGCAGCGGGGGAGAUGCAAACUUUGCUGGUAUUUUGAUUCCAAACUGUGAUAUCUCUUAUCAGGAUGGGUAAGGAAAGAAAGUGUCAGUGGCAUUUAGUCUCCUGGACUAAGUUUCUCUGGCUAUCUCAUGGUGUGGUGGGUGAAAAGUGUGAGGGCAAGGCCAUCACAAGUGUGGAAGAACUCACAGACCACUCAGGCAAGCAUUCUCCAACAGGUAUC